CUUCGGCCCGAGUUGUAAUUUGCAGAGGAUGUUUAUGGUGCGGUACCUUCCGAGUUCCCUGGAACGGGACGCCACAGAGGGUGAGAGCCCCGUCUGGAUGGAUACCAAACCUGUGUUAAACUCCUUCAACGAGUCGAGUAGUUUGGGAAUGCUGCUCUAAAUGGGAGGUAAAUCUCUUCUAAAGCUAAAUAUUGGCCAGAGACCGAUAGCGCACAAGUAGAGUGAUCGAAAGAUGAAAAGCACCUUGAAAAGGGGGUUAAACAGUACGUGAAAUUGUUGAAAGGGAAGCGUUUAUGACCAGACUUGUGCCGUGUGGCUCAUCCGGGGUUCUCCCCGGUGCACUCCACGCGGCUCAGGCCAACAUCGGUUCUCGUCGGAGGAUAAGAAUAGUAGGAACGUGGCCUCUUUCGGGGGGUGUUAUAGCCUAUUAUACGAUACUCUGAUGGGGACCGAGGACCGCGCUUCGGCUAGGAUGUUGGCGUAAUGGUCAUUAGCGACCCGUCUUGAAACACGGACCAAGGAGUCGUCCAUUAGAGCGAGCGUUUGGGUGUAAAACCCGCACGCGUAAUGAAAGUGAAAAUUUAGGUGAGAGCUUCGGCGCAUCAUCGACCGAUCCUGAAGUUUACGGAUGGAUUUGAGUAAGAGUUUUAACGGACGGACCCGAAAGACAGUGAACUAUGCUUGAAUAGGGUGAAGCCAGAGGAAACUCUGGUGGAGGCUCGCAGCGGUUCUGACGUGCAAAUCGAUCGUCAAAUUUGAGCAUGGGGGCGAAAGACUAAUCGAACUGUUUGUUUUUGCUACUAGGCAGUUAAGAGUCUUCCAGUAAUGGAAGGCUAGUGGGUAAUUUAUUUACCUGCGACACCGUCAAAUUGCGGGGACGUCCUGUCAAGUCAAUAAUACCGCCCCUUGCUGAAAAGUAAGCGUGGCACCAGGUGUAACGGCCUGUGGUAAGGUAAUAAUUUAUUGAAUAGGGAUAAUCCGCAGCCAAACCCUAAACCCCUUUGCGGGCAUGGGUGCAGUUCACAGACUAGAUGUCGGUGGGCCUAGGGAGUUCUCGAGAACCUAGGCUUAAGAUAUAGUCGAGACCUUGUAGAGAUAUAAGGAGUUUGCUAUCUUAAUAAGGGACUGACUACAGAGUUAGUAUCCUUAAAUUAAGGACAGACAACUAGUUCGCUAGUAGCUGGUUACCGCCGAAGUUUCCCUCAGGAUAGCAGUGUUGACCUUCAGUUUUAUGAGGUAAAGCGAAUGAUUAGGGACUCGGGGGCGCUUAUUAGCCUUCAUCCAUUCUCAAACUUUAAAUAUGUAAGAAGCUCUUGUUUCUUAAUUGAACGUGAGCAUACGAAUGUACCAACACUAGUGGGCCAUUUUUGGUAAGCAGAACUGGCGAUGCGGGAUGAACCGAACGGGGGGUUAAGGCGCCAGAAUGUACGCUCAUCAGACACCACAAAAGGCGUUAGUACAUCUUGACAGCAGGACGGUGGCCAUGGAAGUCGGAAUCCGCUAAGGACUGUGUAACAACUCACCUGCCGAAUGUACUAGCCCUGAAAAUGGAUGGCGCUCAAGCGUACUGCCCAUACCCCCCCUUCAGGGUAGAAACGAUGCC
This 1603-nucleotide ribosomal RNA is filed under the name Plagiostoma sp. CBS 121906. Its description in RNAcentral is "eukaryotic LSU rRNA". It matches the Rfam family "Eukaryotic large subunit ribosomal RNA", at positions 131 to 1373 of the family's 3401-position model. The record is from RNAcentral. Lineage: Eukaryota; Fungi; Ascomycota; Sordariomycetes; Diaporthales; Gnomoniaceae.